RNAcentral lists this ribosomal RNA (253 nucleotides) under uncultured bacterium. Its description in RNAcentral is "partial 16S ribosomal RNA". It matches the Rfam family "Bacterial small subunit ribosomal RNA", at positions 524 to 776 of the family's 1533-position model. The record is from RNAcentral.
UACGUAGGGGGCAAGCGUUGUCCGGAUUUAUUGGGCGUAAAGAGCGUGUAGGCGGCCAGGUAGGUCAGCUGUGAAAACUCGAGGCUCAACCUCGAGACGUCGGUUGAAACCACCUGGCUAGAGUCCGGAAGAGGAGAGUGGAAUUCCUGGUGUAGCGGUGAAAUGCGCAGAUAUCAGGAAGAACACCUAUGGCGAAGGCAGCACUCUGGGACGGUACUGACGCUGAGACGCGAAAGCGUGGGGAGCGAACAGG